CCCUAAGAGGAAAAAACAUUUUUGAAAGAUACGGAGAAAAUUAGCAUGGCCCCUGCUUAAGAAUAAUAUGCAGAUUCAUGAGGCAUUCUGUAUUUUU
This 97-nucleotide small nuclear RNA is filed under the name Catagonus wagneri (Chacoan peccary). The record is from RNAcentral. Lineage: Eukaryota; Metazoa; Chordata; Mammalia; Artiodactyla; Tayassuidae.